CUCGUAGGCGGUUCAGCAAGUCGUUUGUGAAAGUCCGAGGCUCAACCUCGGAACUGCAGUCGAAACUGCUGUGACUCGAGUCCGGUAGAGGAGAAUGGAAUCCCCGGUGUAGCGGUGAAAUGCGCAGAUAUCGGGAGGAACACCAGUAGCGAAGGCGGUUCUCUGGGCCGGUACUGACGCUGAGGAGCGAAAGCGUGGGGAGCAAACA
This 208-nucleotide ribosomal RNA is filed under the name uncultured bacterium. RNAcentral's name for it is "partial 16S ribosomal RNA". It matches the Rfam family "Bacterial small subunit ribosomal RNA", at positions 568 to 774 of the family's 1533-position model. The record is from RNAcentral.